Molecule: ribosomal RNA, 505 nt
Filed under: uncultured Sphingobacterium sp.
Lineage: Bacteria; Pseudomonadati; Bacteroidota; Sphingobacteriia; Sphingobacteriales; Sphingobacteriaceae
Description: bacterial SSU rRNA
Rfam family: Bacterial small subunit ribosomal RNA
Source: RNAcentral
GAGUUUGAUCUUGGCUCAGGAUGAACGCUAGCGGCAGGCUUAAUACAUGCAAGUCGAGGGGCAGCAGGACUGUAGCAAUACAGUUGCUGGCGACCGGCAAACGGGUGCGGAACACGUACAGAACCUUCCUUUGAGCGGGGAAUAGCCCGGAGAAAUCCGGAUUAAUACCCCAUAGUAAAUUGAAAAGGCAUCUUUUAAUUUUAAAGAUUUAUCACUCGAAGAUGGCUGUGCGGCUGAUUAGGUAGUUGGCGGGGUAAUGGCCCACCAAGCCUGCGAUCAGUAACUGGUGUGAGAGCACGACCAGUCACACGGGCACUGAGACACGGGCCCGACUCCUACGGGAGGCAGCAGUAAGGAAUAUUGGUCAAUGGACGAAAGUCUGAACCAGCCAUGCCGCGUGGAGGAUGAAGGUCCUCUGGAUUGUAAACUUCUUUUAUCUGGGACGAAAAAAGGUUUUUCUAGACCGACUGACGGUACCAGAUGAAUAAGCACCGGCUAACUCCGU